UACCAGCACCCCGAGUGGUCGGGACGAUUACUGGGCGUAAAGCGUGCGCAGGCGGUUCGUUAAGUCAGAUGUGAAAGCCCCGGGCUCAACCUGGGAACUGCAUUUGAAACUGGCGGGCUUGAGUAUGGCAGAGGGGGGUGGAAUUCCGCGUGUAGCAGUGAAAUGCGUAGAGAUGCGGAGGAACACCGAUGGCGAAGGCAGCCCCCUGGGCCAAUACUGACGCUCAGGCACGAAAGCGUGGGGAGCAAACAGG
This 253-nucleotide ribosomal RNA is filed under the name uncultured bacterium. RNAcentral's name for it is "partial 16S ribosomal RNA". The stretch from base 27 to 253 matches the Rfam family "Bacterial small subunit ribosomal RNA", at positions 550 to 776 of the family's 1533-position model. The record is from RNAcentral.